Oncorhynchus tshawytscha (Chinook salmon) is the source of this 358-nucleotide long non-coding RNA. The record is from Ensembl. NCBI's taxonomy places the organism in Eukaryota, Metazoa, Chordata, Actinopteri, Salmoniformes, Salmonidae.
UAGGACCUCCAGUUGUAGGACCUGGAGGUAAAUGGUUGAGCAGGCGGUUGGGUUGUAGGACCUGGAGGUAAAGGGUGAAGCCAGAGCCAGUGGAGUUAGAAGGUGAAGAGGCUUGAGCUCAGUGGGCUAACACAGUCGUCUUCUCUCCCUGUGUGUUUAGUGACGUGGUGGAGCAGCAGGCUGGAGGCCUAUCAGACCUGGAGAUCAUAUCCCAGCCAGACCCAGUGGAGGAGGCAUGGUGUGCAGGAGAUGAACCCUUCCUGCAUGGCUCCUGUCCAGCUGGUCAGCUUUGGCUACAGGGACCUUCCUCUGGCCCACCUGGACCUCUCCCUGGCCGGAUCACAGCUCCUCUCUAACC